This 854-nucleotide ribosomal RNA is filed under the name Bacillus subtilis. RNAcentral's name for it is "bacterial SSU rRNA". It matches the Rfam family "Bacterial small subunit ribosomal RNA", at positions 52 to 888 of the family's 1533-position model. Lineage: Bacteria; Bacillati; Bacillota; Bacilli; Caryophanales; Bacillaceae. The record is from RNAcentral.
UACAUGCAGUCGAGCGGACAGAUGGGAGCUUGCUCCCUGAUGUUAGCGGCGGACGGGUGAGUAACACGUGGGUAACCUGCCUGUAAGACUGGGAUAACUCCGGGAAACCGGGGCUAAUACCGGAUGCUUGUUUGAACCGCAUGGUUCAAACAUAAAAGGUGGCUUCGGCUACCACUUACAGAUGGACCCGCGGCGCAUUAGCUAGUUGGUGAGGUAACGGCUCACCAAGGCAACGAUGCGUAGCCGACCUGAGAGGGUGAUCGGCCACACUGGGACUGAGACACGGCCCAGACUCCUACGGGAGGCAGCAGUAGGGAAUCUUCCGCAAUGGACGAAAGUCUGACGGAGCAACGCCGCGUGAGUGAUGAAGGUUUUCGGAUCGUAAAGCUCUGUUGUUAGGGAAGAACAAGUACCGUUCGAAUAGGGCGGUACCUUGACGGUACCUAACCAGAAAGCCACGGCUAACUACGUGCCAGCAGCCGCGGUAAUACGUAGGUGGCAAGCGUUGUCCGGAAUUAUUGGGCGUAAAGGGCUCGCAGGCGGUUUCUUAAGUCUGAUGUGAAAGCCCCCGGCUCAACCGGGGAGGGUCAUUGGAAACUGGGGAACUUGAGUGCAGAAGAGGAGAGUGGAAUUCCACGUGUAGCGGUGAAAUGCGUAGAGAUGUGGAGGAACACCAGUGGCGAAGGCGACUCUCUGGUCUGUAACUGACGCUGAGGAGCGAAAGCGUGGGGAGCGAACAGGAUUAGAUACCCUGGUAGUCCACGCCGUAAACGAUGAGUGCUAAGUGUUAGGGGGUUUCCGCCCCUUAGUGCUGCAGCUAACGCAUUAAGCACUCCGCCUGGGGAGUACGGUCG